ACUCCUACGGGAGGCAGCAGUGGGGAAUAUUGCACAAUGGGGGAAACCCUGAUGCAGCCAUGCCGCGUGUGUGAAGAAGGCCUUCGGGUUGUAAAGCACUUUCAGUAGGGAGGAAGGUAGUGUAGUUAACACCUGCAUUAUUUGACGUUACCUACAGAAGAAGCACCGGCUAACUCCGUGCCAGCAGCCGCGGUAAUACGGAGGGUGCGAGCGUUAAUCGGAAUUACUGGGCGUAAAGCGCAUGCAGGCGGCCUGUUAAGUCAGAUGUGAAAGCCCGGGGCUUAACCUCGGAAUUGCAUUUGAAACUGGCAGGCUAGAGUCUUGUAGAGGGGGGUAGAAUUUCAGGUGUAGCGGUGAAAUGCGUAGAGAUCUGAAGGAAUACCAGUGGCGAAGGCGGCCCCCUGGACAAAGACUGACGCUCAGAUGCGAAAGCGUGGGGAGC
Molecule: ribosomal RNA, 442 nt
Filed under: uncultured bacterium
Lineage: Bacteria
Description: bacterial SSU rRNA
Rfam family: Bacterial small subunit ribosomal RNA
Source: RNAcentral